This 554-nucleotide ribosomal RNA is filed under the name uncultured archaeon. Its description in RNAcentral is "bacterial SSU rRNA". It matches the Rfam family "Archaeal small subunit ribosomal RNA", at positions 326 to 879 of the family's 1478-position model. The record is from RNAcentral.
CGGGGUGCAGCAGGCGCGAAAACUUUACAAUGCUGGCAACAGCGAUAAGGGGACCUCGAGUGCCAGGAUACAAUCUUGGCUGUCGUAAUGCCUAAAAAGCAUUGCAUAGCAAGGGCCGGGCAAGACCGGUGCCAGCCGCCGCGGUAACACCGGCGGCUCGAGUGGUAACCGCUAUUAUUGGGUCUAAAGGGUCUGUAGCCGGCCGGAUAAGUCUUUUGGGAAAUCUGGCAGCUUAACUGUCAGGCUUUCAGAAGAUACUGUUUCGGCUCGAGGCCGGGAGAGGUGAGAGGUACUUCAGGGGUAGGGGUGAAAUCUUGUAAUCCUUGAAGGACCACCAGUGGCGAAGGCGUCUCACCAGAACGGUCCUGACGGCAAGGGACGAAAGCUAGGGGCACGAACCGGAUUAGAUACCCGGGUAGUCCUAGCCGUAAACGAUACUCGCUAGGUGUCGGCCACGGUGCGACCGUGGUCGGUGCCGUAGGGAAGCCGUGAAGCGAGCCACCUGGGAAGUACGGCCGCAAGGCUGAAACUUAAAGGAAUUGGCGGGGGAGCAC